Molecule: ribosomal RNA, 292 nt
Filed under: uncultured bacterium
Lineage: Bacteria
Description: partial 16S ribosomal RNA
Rfam family: Bacterial small subunit ribosomal RNA
Source: RNAcentral
GUGCCAGCCGCCGCGGUAAUACGGAGGGUGCGAGCGUUAAUCGGAAUUACUGGGCGUAAAGCGCGCGUAGGCGGUUUGUUAAGUGAGAUGUGAAAGACCUGGGCUCAACCUGGGAACGGCAUUUCAUACUGGCAGGCUAGAGUAUGGUAGAGGUGGGUAGAAUUCCUGGUGUAGCGGUGAAAUGCGUAGAGAUCAGGAGGAAUACCGGUGGCGAAGGCGGCCCACUGGACCGAUACUGACGCUGAGGUGCGAAAGCGUGGGGAGCAAACAGGAUUAGAUACCCGGGUAGUCC